Molecule: long non-coding RNA, 489 nt
Organism: Centropristis striata (black sea bass)
Lineage: Eukaryota; Metazoa; Chordata; Actinopteri; Perciformes; Serranidae
Exons: 4
Source: RefSeq, a predicted model, not a curated record
AUCAUCAUCAUCAGACGCGCUGCAAAUGGAGAAACGAUCUCCAAACCUGCAGGGGGCCCUCAGCGUAACAGCUCAACAGAGAGACACACGGGAUGGAGAGAGAAAGAACAGCUGACUGAAUCCCAACAGUGUAUGAAGAUACAGCGGGAACGAUGUACUGUCCAUUCUGUGGAUCUGUGCUUACAGCUUCCCCUGCCUUUUGCUGUGCAUGUGGCAAAAACAUAACUUUUUUAAAGCAUGUCAAAGAAGACACGCCUGCCACUCAUGCACAAGUUGAUGUUGCACAACCUAGCACCAGUGCAGGCACUGAUAAUUGAAGGUGAUGUACCUACUCUGAAGGUCUGGGACAUUCCAGAUAGUGUGAGCACACCAAGAAUGGAGAAAGUUUUGCAGGGGUAAAAAUUGCCUUUGUCAAGUGAUGUUUAUGCUUCAUAAACAAAACAAGUAAUCAGUAGUGGAGCAGGGAAAUUCAUGCAUUAUUUGUUAUUC